CAGUUAUUAUGAUAAAUUACCUCGCACUUACUGUGUACAGAACAUUUAGUCAAUGCGUAUGCCCCAAGGUUGCUCAAGCACUAUUUGCAGCCGUCUGUUUGCAGAACCUGGUUUGAAAAUUAACGGGAAUUUACCCAGGAGGAGGCAAAACAAGAAGCAGCAUCUUGAGUCACGUGUUUUGGAUGAGAGCACCUGCUGUGCGUUCUCUCAAACUCUUAGCCGUGGCUGCGAUGAUAAACACAGCCGUGAAUAUGAUCGGGCGUUCCAAAGAGGGAGAGAGAGAAAACAAACCAAUGAUUAGAUUUGUUGGAAAAUGCCUUCCUUUACAGGGCAAUAAAAAGCUGUUAUAUGGCCACAUAAUCUCUAGGCACUUUUACGCAGUCUGUACUUUGGUCACUGAGGAUGUAAGCGUCUACCAUUUAGUAGUAAAAAAAAAACACACAGACAUUUACAGACAGUCACAAUCACGGCACGGAAUAAUGUCUCUCCAGCUAAGUAUCCUAGCCUUAGUGCUGGUGGCUGUUUCUGUCUGUCAAGCACAGACUGGCAGACUGACCGGCGGCACGACCGGCGACGGGGGGGCCAUGAAGCCCUGGCUGGUGGGCAUGGCCGCCGUGGUCGGCUUCCUCUUCAUCGUCUUCACCCUGCUCAUCAUCAAGAGGCUGCUGCGGAAGGACAGAGGAGAAGAGGAAAGUUUGUGUGACAAUUGCUCAGAAAAGGGAAUUGAAGAGGCACCUGAAAUCAAACAGACCAACCUAUAGGGUGAACGGGAAAUGGGAAAGAGAGUCACAGAUUGUACCGUAAAGGCUUCUCAGACAAUUGCAUAAGCAUGUAUUUGAUCUACUGCAAGUGCAACCAUCUUUUUCCUUGGUCAACUGCAUCACCAGUAAACAAAUUCGCCCAAAGGAAAGCACAUGCUUUCACUCAACAGCAGAAAUAUCUAUAAAUGAGCAACAAAUCUUGACCGGGAGUGCAGUAUGUAUUUAUACGUAUGCGAAAGGAUCGACUGAAAAAUAACAUUAUGACGAUUGCCUUUACCACCACCAGAGGGAGCCAGAUGCUUAGCUGCUGCUUCUGAUGAAGAACCACGUCAUUAUCAUGCAUCAAUAUAUGAUGUUACUUUUAGAGAUGGGCUACACUGGGAUCAUGUUUCCAGUUUCCAUUAUGCUAUUAUAUCCUUAGCGUUGUUGUGUUAUUUUGCCCACAUUGUUUCCAAAUAAAGCAUCGCUUUGCCAACAAAAGCUUUCUGAUAACAUUUAAAGCACUGUUUAAAUUAAGGGAAAUGGAAGAUAGACAAUAGAAGAGGAGUGUCCAAGCUUAACCAAAAAGGGUCAGUGUGGAUGCAGGUUUCUGUUUUAGCCUAGCACUAAGACAUCUGAUUGUACUUAUCAAGGUCUUGGUUGAAGACCAGGAUUAGUUAAUUUGUUGAAUGGGGUGUUGUAAUGCUCGGGUGAAAAAAAGCCUGCACCCAUGACGGGCAUUUUCAGACAGACUACUUAAAAAUGAAUGGAAGUCAGCAGGUAUUUGACAGGGGAAAUGCAGGAAUGGCAGUGAAUUGGUUCAGACCAGUAAUGGUGAUGAUGAUGAUGAUAAUGGUGACGAUGAUAAUGAGGGCGAUUAUUCAGUUCUUUUUCUACCCAAUCAGAGAUUUGUAAAGGUAGUAAGAUGGAGACAUCACCAUUUCUUGGCGCUGAGUGAUCAGUCACUACAUGGUAAUUGAAAGCAGUGGAGUUCUAGAACACUGACUUGGCAGUGUUUUUGAAAAAAAAAAAAAAAAAAAACAUUCCCCCCCAAAAACUCUUCAAAGGGUUGGUCAAUUAAGUACAGAAUAACAAUGGAAAACAGCAGAUCCUAUAGCUCCACAGAACUAGGGUUUGGGGAGCCCUGGGAUACUCUUGGCCUAAAUGUGAAGGGCAGGCUCUUGUAUGUUUUUAUUUUUGCCGUUGGAUAUUUUUCUGAAUGAAUCUACAUUAAGUACCUUGCACAAAGGUACAUGGCAAUGCCCCUGCUGGGAAUCAAACCUGCAACCUUGGACUCAAAAGCCCAGUUUCCUACAAAAAUUCAAAAAUUCAAAGGUCAUUUUAGAUCACUCAUAUCAACACACAUUGAAUGGCCUUGUCCACAAUUUUUCUUUAACUUUCUUAAUUUAAUUUGAGAGCACUUAAAGCGGUAUUCAGCUGAAUUUUGGAAUGUAUGGCCAAGAUCUUUUUUUUUUCCCCGAAGCUGAUUGCGUGUUUAAAUUAUGCUGUGAAAAAGAAUAACAGUGGUUAAAAGGCGGUUGCCAAUUUUUUAUCUGACUCUUACGCUGAUUUACAGGACCACCCAGGGGAAAAAAAAAAGCCCACAUUAAUUUCGCGAAUAGGUACACUGGCGGCAACCCGCAGAAACAAACCUUCUGUGAAAUCUCUUUCCCUCCUGUCGCAGUUUCACAGCGCUGUCAUCUCGGGUUCGACACAGAAGAGCAGCAUCUGAAAUCGGAGCCAAAGCGAAGAACGGCAGAACCUAUAAACUAUCCACAAGGCCGUACGGACAGCCUUGACCACCACGUGGCAGAACCAGCAGUAUUUAAGCCACAGUUACCCACGCUACAUUCAGCGCAACACCACACGGAUUUUCAUCAAGUUACAAUUUUUUUUUUUUUUUUUAUCAAGUUCGGUUUCAAUUCAGGCCCGAUUCUCAUUCUGACUUUUUACAAUUUUACCUUCGGGAGCACAGAAGUUCAUCAUUAUCCUGAAGUAGAUCUGGUGGCUCGUCAGAUUAUCUGUGGCAGCAGCACUGUAAACCUAGAGAUUUAAAGGCCCCGGUGAAAGACUGAGCAUGAUUUAUUGUCAUCAGUAAUCUAGCUGUCUGGCCUCCAUUUUCCCACAAUGCACAUCAGUGUUUCUGCAGCUGCUGAUGGGGGUUUAAAAAAAAAAAAAGAUUUUUCAAGAUUAUUUUCAAGCAGGAACGUCACAGCCUCCGGUUCCCCAGCUGAACUGAUUUCUCAAUUUGUCUUUUCUCGAUACUUAAUGCACCAGCAUGCGAUCCCUCCGCUCUCAUUUUGUCACCUAAUUGGUCUUGUGCAACAGAAAGAGGAAUUAAAGUCUUUGUUGGGUCAUCUGG
Long non-coding RNA from Anguilla rostrata (American eel), 3102 nucleotides. RefSeq lists it as uncharacterized. The transcript has 3 exons. The record is from RefSeq and is a predicted model, not a curated record. NCBI's taxonomy places the organism in Eukaryota, Metazoa, Chordata, Actinopteri, Anguilliformes, Anguillidae.